CAUGAGGUUUCGAUUCGAGGCAAUCUUGCCCUAAUCAUCAGAGCCCUAUCUAUAAAAUAAUAGGAGGCCAAGUCUGGUGGAAUUUUGCAUCCAUUUUACAAAUGAUUCUAUGUUGGGAAAAAGGUUAUACAUUAAUGGUUAAUUUGGAAAAAAAUUAAUACUUGGGGGGCUAACUCUGGGAAUUUUAAUCUCCAUAGAUGAUGGCGAGGUUUGGGUCCCGUAUAAGUGCAUGUUGUCUGCACGUGGAUCCAAGUGACUCCUUGCAUUGUCCUACGCAACAUUUUUCUUGUUGUAUACAUGGACCAGCGUUGGGUUUUGGUCCACAUUGAUAAAAAUCCAAAACUUUAAGGGCUCAAUUGGGAAUUAGGGACAACUUUAGGACGGAAAAUUGUAAUUUACCCAUCAUUUAUUCGUAUGACAAUUGGGAUAACAAGCUUCAUUGUCAAGCAAGCAGAUGGUGGUUCUUGCAGUCUAGAUUUUGCACUGUUCUGUGAAGUUGUUCAAAAUAGACAUGAAGGAACAUCAGUAAUGACUUCCUCUUUCACAGAGAAACCGAGCUCUAAACCAAUACCAGAAAACCGAUUAACAACGGUAAUUCACGUCUACAUCCACCCAGCACCCGAAAACAACAAUCAACAGCCAUCAACUAACCCUACGGUCCCUACUUCCCAAAAGAGAAAAAAGGGGAAACGAAAAGCCGAGGGGGCAACUCCGGUAGUAUGUUUCACCUUGUCAACGCGACAGCAAGCCAACGACCUAUAAGUCCUACAGCGGAAGCAGUGACCAAUUUCCACAGCAACAUCUGCA
RNAcentral lists this long non-coding RNA (807 nucleotides) under Actinidia chinensis (golden kiwifruit). Its description in RNAcentral is "long non-coding RNA (ACHI_LNC004112)". The record is from RNAcentral. Lineage: Eukaryota; Viridiplantae; Streptophyta; Magnoliopsida; Ericales; Actinidiaceae.